RNAcentral lists this unclassified non-coding RNA (256 nucleotides) under uncultured Gaiellales bacterium. RNAcentral's name for it is "contains 16S-23S intergenic spacer region". Lineage: Bacteria; Bacillati; Actinomycetota; Thermoleophilia; Gaiellales. The record is from RNAcentral.
AAGGCUUGACAUGCACCGGCCCCGAAGGGCUGCCGUAUUUCUACGACAUUCCAGUGCAUGUCAAGCCUUGGUAAGGUUCUUCGCGUCGCGUCGAAUUAAACCACAUGCUCCGCUGCUUGUGCGGGCCCCCGUCAAUUCCUUUGAGUUUUAGCCUUGCGGCCGUACUCCCCAGGCGGGGUGCUUAAUGCGUUAGCUGCGGCACGGACGGAGUCGACACCGCCCACGCCUAGCACCCAUCGUUUACAGCGUGGACUAC